AGGCAAGUUACAGAAGAGCCUGGACCAUGCAGUUGGCUCAUCAGGUAGACAUUAACUUCUGCAAUGUGCUGGACGCUCUUUUAAGUUUACAGGCAUAAACUUUCCCCUUGUAGGAAGACACCUGAAAUUGACCUACCUGGAACCACCAUCUAUAUUCUGGGAUACUGUGCUUCAGUCUUUUAGAAACUCUUUGAGGCUCUUGGCAGCUGCGAGAAAAGUCCUAGCCCACAAGAUGCUGUGAAGACCAUUUCUUUCUCAAAUCCUCAUUUUCCAAGGAACUUUUUGAAGAUAACCAUCCUAUCACAA
This 306-nucleotide long non-coding RNA is filed under the name Homo sapiens (human). RNAcentral's name for it is "HSALNT0403721". The record is from RNAcentral. Lineage: Eukaryota; Metazoa; Chordata; Mammalia; Primates; Hominidae.